UACGAAGGGAGCUAGCGUUGUUCGGAAUCACUGGGCGUAAAGCGCAUGUAGGCGGAUCCAUAAGUCGGGCGUGAAAUCCCCAGGCUCAACCUGGGAACUGCGUUCGAAACUGUGGGUCUAGAGUGUCGGAGAGGAUGGCGGAAUUCCUGGUGUAGAGGUGAAAUUCGUAGAUAUCAGGAGGAACACCGGUGGCGAAGGCGGCCAUCUGGACGACAACUGACGCUGAGAUGCGAAAGCGUGGGGAGCAAACAGG
This 253-nucleotide ribosomal RNA is filed under the name uncultured bacterium. RNAcentral's name for it is "partial 16S ribosomal RNA". It matches the Rfam family "Bacterial small subunit ribosomal RNA", at positions 524 to 776 of the family's 1533-position model. The record is from RNAcentral.